This 474-nucleotide ribosomal RNA is filed under the name uncultured bacterium. Its description in RNAcentral is "bacterial SSU rRNA". It matches the Rfam family "Bacterial small subunit ribosomal RNA", at positions 8 to 474 of the family's 1533-position model. The record is from RNAcentral.
AGAGUUUGAUCAUGGCUCAGAUUGAACGCUGGCGGCAUGCUUAAUACGUGCAAGUCGAACGGUAACAGAUUCUUCGGAAUGCUGACGAGUGGCGGACGGGUGAGUAAUACAUAGGAAUCUGCCCAUGUAGUGGGGGACAACUUGGGGAAACUCAAGCUAAUACCGCAUAAUUCCUACGGGAUAAAGAGGGCCACUGCUUGCAAGCUCUUGCUACUGGAUGAGCCUAUGUCGGAUUAGUUAGUUGGUAAGGUAAUGGCUUACCAAGACAGCGAUCCGUAGCUGGUUUGAGAGGAUGAUCAGCCACACUGGGACUGAGACACGGCCCAGACUCCUACGGGAGGCAGCAGUAGGGAGUAUUGGACAAUGGGCGCAAGCCUGAUCCAGCAAUGCCGCGUGUGUGAAGAAGGCCUGCGGGUUGUAAAGCACUUUCAAUUGGGAAGAAAGAUUAUGAGUUAAUACCUUAUAAUAUUGACG